CCUACGGGAGACAGCAGUGGGGGAUAUUGCACAAUGGGGGAAACCCUGAUGCAGCGACGCCGCGUGGGCGAAGAAGUAUUUCGGUAUGUAAAGCCCUAUCAGCAGGGAAGAAGAAAUGACGGUACCUGAGUAAGAAGCACCGGCUAAAUACGUGCAAGCAGCCGCGGUAAUACGUAUGUGGCAAGCGUUAUCCGGAUUUACUGGGUGGAAAGGGAGCGCAGGCGGCACGGCAAGCCUGAUGUGAAAGCCCGCGGCCCAACCGCGGGACUGCAUUGGGAACUACCGGGCUGGAGUGCCGGAGAGGUAGGCGGAAUUCCUAGUGUAGCGGUGAAAUGCGUAGAUAUUAGGAGGAACACCAGUGGCGAAGGCGGCCUACUGGACGGUGACUGACGCUGAGGCUCGAAAGCGUGGGGAGCAAACAGGAUUAGAUACCCUUGUAGUC
This 442-nucleotide ribosomal RNA is filed under the name uncultured bacterium. Its description in RNAcentral is "partial 16S ribosomal RNA". It matches the Rfam family "Bacterial small subunit ribosomal RNA", at positions 338 to 795 of the family's 1533-position model. The record is from RNAcentral.